AGUGAACGCUGGCGGUAGGCCUAACACAUGCAAGUCGAACGGCAGCACAGUAAGAGCUUGCUCUUACGGGUGGCGAGUGGCGGACGGGUGAGGAAUACAUCGGAAUCUACUUUUUCGUGGGGGAUAACGUAGGGAAACUGACGCUAAUACCGCAUACGACCUACGGGUGAAAGCAGGGGAUCUUCGGACCUUGCGCGAUUGAAUGAGCCGAUGUCGGAUUAGCUAGUUGGCGGGGUAAAGGCCCACCAAGGCGACGUUCCGUAGCUGGUCUGAGAGGAUGAUCAGCCACACUGGAACUGAGACACGGUCCAGACUCCUACGGGAGGCAGCAGUGGGGAAUAUUGGACAAUGGGCGCAAGCCUGAUCCAGCCAUACCGCGUGGGUGAAGAAGGCCUUCGGGUUGUAAAGCCCUUUUGUUGGGAAAGAAAAGCAGCAGGUUAAUACCCCGCUGUUCUGACGGUACCCAAAGAAUAAGCACCGGCUAACUUCGUG
RNAcentral lists this ribosomal RNA (492 nucleotides) under uncultured bacterium. Its description in RNAcentral is "partial 16S ribosomal RNA". It matches the Rfam family "Bacterial small subunit ribosomal RNA", at positions 29 to 507 of the family's 1533-position model. The record is from RNAcentral.